UUCCGGUUGAUCCUGCCGGACCUGACUGCUAUCGGAUUGAUACUAAGCCAUGUGAGUCAUUGUAGCAAUACAAGGCAGACGGCUCAGUAACACGUAGCCAAUCUAACCUAUGGACGGGGAUAACCUCGGGAAACUGAGGAUAAACCCCGAUAGAUCAUUAUGCCUGGAACGGUUUAUGGUCCAAAUGAUUCGUCGCCGUAGGAUGAGACUGCGGCCUAUCAGCUUGUUGGUGAGGUAAUGGCCCACCAAGGCUAUUACAGGUACGGGCUCUGAGAGGAGAAGCCCGGAGAUGGGUACUGAGACACGGACCCAGGCCCUAUGGGGCGCAGCAGGCGAGAAACCUUUGCAAUGUGCGCAAGCACGACAAGGUUAAUCCGAGUGAUUCCUGCUAAAGGAAUCUUUUGUUAGUCUUAAAAUCACUAUUGAAUAAGGGGUGGGCAAGUUCUGGUGUCAGCCGCCGCGGUAAAACCAGCACCUCAAGUGGUCAGGAGGAUUAUUGGGCCUAAAGCAUCCGUAGCCUGCUCUGUAAGUUUCCGGUUAAAUCCAUUAGCUCAACUAAUGGCCUGCCGGAAAUACUGCAGAGCUAGGAAGUGGGAGAGGUAGACGGUACUCGGUAGGAAGGGGUAAAAUCCUUUGAUCUAUUGAUGACCACCUGUGGCGAAGGCGGUCUACCAGAACACGUUCGACGGUGAGGGAUGAAAGCUGGGGGAGCAAACCGGAUUAGAUACCCGGGUAGUCCCAGCUGUAAACGAUGCAGACUCGGUGAUGCGCUGGCUUGUGGCCAGUGCAGUGCCAGGGAAAGCCGUUAAGUUUGCCGCCUGGGAAGUACGUACGCAAGUAUGAAACUUAAAGGAAUUGGCGGGGGAGCACCACAAGGGGUGAAGCCUGCGGUUCAAUUGGAUUCAACGCCGGA
This 913-nucleotide ribosomal RNA is filed under the name uncultured archaeon. RNAcentral's name for it is "bacterial SSU rRNA". It matches the Rfam family "Archaeal small subunit ribosomal RNA", at positions 1 to 922 of the family's 1478-position model. The record is from RNAcentral.